This 1183-nucleotide ribosomal RNA is filed under the name Klebsiella pneumoniae. RNAcentral's name for it is "bacterial LSU rRNA". It matches the Rfam family "Bacterial large subunit ribosomal RNA", at positions 1762 to 2925 of the family's 2925-position model. Lineage: Bacteria; Pseudomonadati; Pseudomonadota; Gammaproteobacteria; Enterobacterales; Enterobacteriaceae. RNAcentral also lists the same sequence under 1 other name. The record is from RNAcentral.
UGGAGCUGAGACCAGUCGAAGAUACCAGCUGGCUGCAACUGUUUAUUAAAAACACAGCACUGUGCAAACACGAAAGUGGACGUAUACGGUGUGACGCCUGCCCGGUGCCGGAAGGUUAAUUGAUGGGGUUAUCCGUAAGGAGAAGCUCUUGAUCGAAGCCCCGGUAAACGGCGGCCGUAACUAUAACGGUCCUAAGGUAGCGAAAUUCCUUGUCGGGUAAGUUCCGACCUGCACGAAUGGCGUAAUGAUGGCCAGGCUGUCUCCACCCGAGACUCAGUGAAAUUGAACUCGCUGUGAAGAUGCAGUGUACCCGCGGCAAGACGGAAAGACCCCGUGAACCUUUACUAUAGCUUGACACUGAACAUUGAGCCUUGAUGUGUAGGAUAGGUGGGAGGCUUUGAAGCGUGGACGCCAGUCUGCGUGGAGCCAACCUUGAAAUACCACCCUUUAAUGUUUGAUGUUCUAACGUUGGCCCCUUACCGGGGUUGCGGACAGUGUCUGGUGGGUAGUUUGACUGGGGCGGUCUCCUCCCAAAGCGUAACGGAGGAGCACGAAGGUUAGCUAAUCCUGGUCGGACAUCAGGAGGUUAGUGCAAUGGCAUAAGCUAGCUUGACUGCGAGCGUGACGGCGCGAGCAGGUGCGAAAGCAGGUCAUAGUGAUCCGGUGGUUCUGAAUGGAAGGGCCAUCGCUCAACGGAUAAAAGGUACUCCGGGGAUAACAGGCUGAUACCGCCCAAGAGUUCAUAUCGACGGCGGUGUUUGGCACCUCGAUGUCGGCUCAUCACAUCCUGGGGCUGAAGUAGGUCCCAAGGGUAUGGCUGUUCGCCAUUUAAAGUGGUACGCGAGCUGGGUUUAGAACGUCGUGAGACAGUUCGGUCCCUAUCUGCCGUGGGCGCUGGAGAAUUGAGGGGGGCUGCUCCUAGUACGAGAGGACCGGAGUGGACGCAUCACUGGUGUUCGGGUUGUCAUGCCAAUGGCACUGCCCGGUAGCUAAAUGCGGAAGAGAUAAGUGCUGAAAGCAUCUAAGCACGAAACUUGCCCCGAGAUGAGUUCUCCCUGAGACUUUAAGUCUCCUGAAGGAACGUUGAAGACGACGACGUUGAUAGGCCGGGUGUGUAAGCGCAGCGAUGCGUUGAGCUAACCGGUACUAAUGAACCGUGAGGCUUAACCUUACAACGCCGAAG